This 253-nucleotide ribosomal RNA is filed under the name uncultured bacterium. Its description in RNAcentral is "partial 16S ribosomal RNA". It matches the Rfam family "Bacterial small subunit ribosomal RNA", at positions 524 to 776 of the family's 1533-position model. The record is from RNAcentral.
UACGUAGGGGGCUAGCGUUGUCCAGAUUUAUUGGGCGUAAAGAGCGUGUAGGCGGCCAGGUAGGUCUGGUGUGAAAACUCGAGGCUUAACCUCGAGAUGUCAUCAGAAACCAUCUGGCUAGAGUCCGGAAGAGGAAAGUGGAAUUCCUGGUGUAGCGGUGAAAUGCGCAGAUAUCAGGAAGAACACCAAUGGCGAAAGCAGCUUUCUGGGACGGUACUGACGCUGAGACGCGAAAGCGUGGGGAGCGAACAGG